Molecule: ribosomal RNA, 2179 nt
Filed under: Cochliomyia hominivorax (primary screw-worm)
Lineage: Eukaryota; Metazoa; Arthropoda; Insecta; Diptera; Calliphoridae
Description: eukaryotic LSU rRNA
Rfam family: Eukaryotic large subunit ribosomal RNA
Source: RNAcentral
AUUAGCAUAUUAAUGAGGGGAGGAAAAGAAACUAACAAGGAUUUUCUUAGUAGCGGCGAGCGAAAAGAAAAUAGUUCAGCACUAAGUCACUUUGUCUUAAUGGCAAAUGUGAGAUGCAGUGUAUGGAAUGUCAAAUUUCUAGUAUGAGAAAUUAACGAUUUAAGUCCUUCUUAAAUGAGGCCAUUUACCCAAAGAGGGUGCCAGGCCCGUAUAACGUUAAUGAUUACUAGAUGGCAUUUCCAAAGAGUCGUGUUGCUUGAUAGUGCAGCACUAAGUGGGUGGUAAACUCCAUCUAAAACUAAAUAUAACCAUGAGACCGAUAGUAAACAAGUACCGUGAGGGAAAGUUGAAAAGAACUCUGAAUAGAGAGUUAAAUAGUACGUGAAACUGCUUAGAGGUUAAGCCCGAUGAACCUGAAUAUCCAUUAUAGAAAAUUCAUCAUUAUGAUUUUAAUAUUUAUAAUAUUAUAAUAAUGGUGUGCAUUUUUUCUAUAAAAGGACAUUGUAAUCUAUUAACAUCAAAUAUUUAUCAAAAGAUCAAUUGCAAAUGUUUAUUCAAAUUAUUUUGCUUGCAAUUUAACAUAGAAUAAAUGCUUUUGAUUUGAUAAAGUGUUGAUAGAUUUAUUAUAUAUAGUGCUUAAAUAUUUAUAUUUUAUAAUAGCAUAUUAAUCAUUGAUUUUUAUGUUUAUUAUAUGCACUUAUAUGAUUAACAAUGCGAAAGAUUCAGGAUACCUUCGGGACCCGUCUUGAAACACGGACCAAGGAGUCUAACAUAUUUGCAAGUUAUUGGGAAUAAAAACCUAAUAGCGAAAUUAACAUAACUUUAUAUAAUGGGAUUAAUUUUUAGCCUAUUUAUAGUCUAUUAAUUCAAUCCCGGGGCGUUCUAUAUAGUUAUGUAUAAUAAUAUUUAUAUUAUUUAUACCUCUAACUAGAGCGUACCUUGAGCAUAUAUGCUGUGACCCGAAAGAUGGUGAACUAUACUUGAUCAGGUUGAAGUCAGGGGAAACCCUGAUGGAAGACCGAAACAGUUCUGACGUGCAAAUCGAUUGUCAGAAUUGAGUAUAGGGGCGAAAGACCAAUCGAACCAUCUAGUAGCUGGUUCCCUCCGAAGUUUCCCUCAGGAUAGCUGGUGCAUUUAAAAAUUAUGUAAAAUAAUCUUAUCUGGUAAAGCGAAUGAUUAGAGGCCUUAGGGUCGAAACGACCUUAACCUAUUCUCAAACUUUAAAUGGGUAAGAACCUCACCUUUCUUGGUAUGAAGGUUGUGGUUGUGAUAUAAUGUGCCCAGUGGGCCACUUUUGGUAAGCAGAACUGGCGCUGUGGGAUGAACCAAACGUAAUGUUACGGUGCCCAAAUUAACAACUCAUGCAGAUACCAUGAAAGGCGUUGGUUGCUUAAAACAGCAGGACGGUGGACAUGGAAGUCGUAAUCCGCUAAGGAGUGUGUAACAACUCACCUGCCGAAGCAACUAGCCUUAAAAUGGAUGGCGCUUAAGUUGUAUACCUAUACAUUACCGCUAAAGUAGAUGGUUUAUGUUCAAUCUCGGUUGGAUUAUAAACUUUGAAACUUUAGUGAGUAGGAGGGUACAAUGGUGAGCAUAGAAGUGUUUGGCGUAAGCCUGCAUGGAGCUGCCAUUGGUACAGAUCUUGGUGGUAGUAGCAAAUAAUCGAAUGAGACCUUGGAGGACUGAAGUGGAGAAGGGUUUCGUGUGAACAGUGGUUGAUCACGAGUUAGUCGGUCCUAAGUUCAAGGCGAAAGCCGAAAAUUUUCAAGUUAUAAUGAAAAGUACUAAAUUGUGCUUAGUAAUUAAACACUUGAAUAAUUUUGAACGAAAGGGAAUACGGUUCCAAUUCCGUAACCUGUUGAGUAUCCGUUUGUUAUUAAAUAUGGGCCUUGUGCUCAUCCUGGCAACAGGAACGACCAUAAAGAAGCCGUCGAGAGAUAUCGGAAGAGUUUUCUUUUCUGUUUUAUAGUCGUACUACCAUGGAAGUCUUUCGAAGAGAGAUAUGGUAGAUGGACUAGAAGAGCAUGACAUUUACUGUUGUGUCGAUAUUUUCUCCUCGGACCUUGAAAAUUUAUGGUGGGGUCACGCAAACUUCUCAACAGGCCGUACCAAUAUCCGCAGCUGGUCUCCAAGGUGAAGAGUCUCUAGUCGAUAGAAUAAUGUAGGUAAGGGAAGUCGC